GCUGGGUGUGGUGGUGCACGCCUGUAAUCCCAGCUACUCUGGAGGCUGAGGCAGGAGAAUUGCUUGAACCCAGGAGGCGGAGGCUGCAGGGAGCCGAGAUCGCACCACUGCACUCCAGCCUGGGUGACAGAGUGAGACUCUGUCUUUA
Molecule: non-coding RNA, 148 nt
Filed under: Nomascus leucogenys (northern white-cheeked gibbon)
Lineage: Eukaryota; Metazoa; Chordata; Mammalia; Primates; Hylobatidae
Source: Rfam by way of RNAcentral